Non-coding RNA from Lagenorhynchus albirostris (white-beaked dolphin), 553 nucleotides. NCBI's taxonomy places the organism in Eukaryota, Metazoa, Chordata, Mammalia, Artiodactyla, Delphinidae. The record is from the annotation of a RefSeq genome assembly.
CUCUCCCAACACACCUUACAACGUCCAUCAGAAAUUUAUAUCCUGUGUCAUUCCUUCUCAACCUCACAGCAACCUGGGUUCAAGUCCACCAGUCAUCAGACUUUUGUUUGUGGAGAAUCUCCCAGAAAGGAGCUCACUGCCUCCUUACUGCUCCACCAUGACCCUGGUGUUCACCUUGAUGCUUGAGGUGCUCCUGUUCCUGAGAGGAGCCGGAGCCCAGUCGGUGACCCAGCCUGACGGCCACAUCACUGUCUCUGAAGGAGACCAUCUGGAGCUGAGGUGCAACUACUCAUCUUCUGUUUCGCUCUAUCUGUUCUGGUACAUGCAGUACCCCAAUCAAGGACUCCAGCUUCUCCUGAAGUACAUAUCUGGAAACAGCCUUGUCUCAGGUAUCAAAGGUUUUGAGGCUGAAUUUAGGGGGAGUGAGAAGUCCUUCCACCUGAGGAAAACAUCAGCCCAUUGGAAAGACUCGGCCAAGUACUUCUGUGCUCUGAGUGACACAGUGACUAAGACUACAGUGGGAGCUGAACACAAAUCUCCUGAGACUGAGUAG